UUAUUUUUUUAUUUUACAGAAUUAAAUAAGGAACAGAGUAGAAAGAAGAGAACUAUUCAAGAAAACCGGUUCAAGCCAAAUCACAUGAAGAUACCUCGACAAUGUUCUCCGCUAAAGCAGUUCCUGGAAAGGACUACUUUAUAUAAUCAAAAUAGUCAUCCAAAAUACGUGUCGCCAGUCUUCUGACGUCCCUGUAAACAAACAAAACCCUCGAUCGGACAAAAGACCACAAGCUAUAGUCUUCUAUAAAACACAAGCCGAAAAUGUAUCAGUAAUUUAAUUUCAAAAUUUAGAGCGUUUGUGAAUAGUAUAUUAACCA
This is a non-coding RNA of Paramuricea clavata, 319 nucleotides long. The record is from the annotation of a GenBank genome assembly. Lineage: Eukaryota; Metazoa; Cnidaria; Anthozoa; Malacalcyonacea; Plexauridae.